This 315-nucleotide ribosomal RNA is filed under the name Tetraclita serrata. Its description in RNAcentral is "partial 12S ribosomal RNA". It matches the Rfam family "Microsporidia small subunit ribosomal RNA", at positions 773 to 1200 of the family's 1311-position model. Lineage: Eukaryota; Metazoa; Arthropoda; Thecostraca; Balanomorpha; Tetraclitidae. The record is from RNAcentral.
GAAAUUUAACGGAUUUGGCGGCAAGAUAGCCCCUUAGAGGAACCUGCCCUGUAAACGAUGAACCACGAGGGACUCUACUUUCUUUGGUAGAUCAGUUUGUAUAUCGCUGUUGUCAGUUAGAUUCUUGAGAAUAUUUUCGUCUAUGAAAAGUUCAUUGACUUCAAGUAAAGGUGCAGCUUAUAAGGAAGAUAGAGGUGGGUUACAUUUAUGAGAAUAAAACGGAAAGGAUGGAUGAAACAAUCCUUGAAGGUGGAUUUAACUGUAAAACUUAAGUAGGUUUGGUGAGAGCUCUAUCUUGUGUACACACCGCCCGUC